This 467-nucleotide ribosomal RNA is filed under the name uncultured bacterium. RNAcentral's name for it is "bacterial SSU rRNA". It matches the Rfam family "Bacterial small subunit ribosomal RNA", at positions 917 to 1382 of the family's 1533-position model. The record is from RNAcentral.
GGGCCCGCACAAGCGGUGGAGCAUGUGGUUCAAUUCGACGCAACGCGAAGAACCUUACCUGGGUUAAAUCCACUCGAACACUGCAGAGAUGUGGUGGUGCCCUUCGGGGAGCGAGUGAGAAGGUGCUGCAUGGCUGUCGUCAGCUCGUGUCGUGAGAUGUUGGGUUAAGUCCCGCAACGAGCGCAACCCUUGUCAUUAGUUGGCAUCAGUUUCGGCUGGCCACUCUAACGAGACUGCCGGCGUUAAGCCGGAGGAAGGUGGGGAUGACGUCAAGUCCUCAUGGCCCUUAUGCCCAGGGCUACACACGUGCUACAAUGGCCGGUACAAAGGGCUGCUAACCCGCGAGGGGGAGCCAAUCCCAAAAAACCGGUCUCAGUUCGGAUUGGAGUCUGCAACUCGACUCCAUGAAGUCGGAAUCGCUAGUAAUCCCUGAUCAGCAGGCAGGGGUGAAUACGUUCCCGGGCCUU